RNAcentral lists this ribosomal RNA (465 nucleotides) under uncultured Klebsiella sp. Its description in RNAcentral is "bacterial SSU rRNA". It matches the Rfam family "Bacterial small subunit ribosomal RNA", at positions 338 to 795 of the family's 1533-position model. Lineage: Bacteria; Pseudomonadati; Pseudomonadota; Gammaproteobacteria; Enterobacterales; Enterobacteriaceae. The record is from RNAcentral.
CCUACGGGGGGCUGCAGUGGGGAAUAUUGCACAAUGGGCGCAAGCCUGAUGCAGCCAUGCCGCGUGUGUGAAGAAGGCCUUCGGGUUGUAAAGCACUUUCAGCGGGGAGGAAGGCGGUGAGGUUAAUAACCUCAUCGAUUGACGUUACCCGCAGAAGAAGCACCGGCUAACUCCGUGCCAGCAGCCGCGGUAAUACGGAGGGUGCAAGCGUUAAUCGGAAUUACUGGGCGUAAAGCGCACGCAGGCGGUCUGUCAAGUCGGAUGUGAAAUCCCCGGGCUCAACCUGGGAACUGCAUUCGAAACUGGCAGGCUAGAGUCUUGUAGAGGGGGGUAGAAUUCCAGGUGUAGCGGUGAAAUGCGUAGAGAUCUGGAGGAAUACCGGUAGCGAAGGCGGCCCCCUGGACAAAGACUGACGCUCAGGUGCGAAAGCGUGGGGAGCAAACAGGAUUAGAUACCCGGGUAGUC